GUCGGCAGGCCUAACACAUGCAAGUCGAGCGGUAGCACAGAGAGCUUGCUCUCGGGUGACGAGCGGCGGACGGGUGAGUAAUGUCUGGGAAACUGCCUGAUGGAGGGGGAUAACUACUGGAAACGGUAGCUAAUACCGCAUAAUGUCGCAAGACCAAAGUGGGGGACCUUCGGGCCUCAUGCCAUCAGAUGUGCCCAGAUGGGAUUAGCUAGUAGGUGGGGUAACGGCUCACCUAGGCGACGAUCCCUAGCUGGUCUGAGAGGAUGACCAGCCACACUGGAACUGAGACACGGUCCAGACUCCUACGGGAGGCAGCAGUGGGGAAUAUUGCACAAUGGGCGCAAGCCUGAUGCAGCCAUGCCGCGUGUGUGAAGAAGGCCUUCGGGUUGUAAAGCACUUUCAGCGGGGAGGAAGGCGGUGAGGUUAAUAACCUCACCGAUUGACGUUACCCGCAGAAGAAGCACCGGCUAACCCCGUGCCAGCAGCCGCGGUAAUACGGAGGGUGCAGGCGUUAAUCGGAAUUACUGGGCGUAAAGCGCACGCAGGCGGUCUGUCAAGUCGGAUGUGAAAUCCCCGGGCUCAACCUGGGAACUGCAUUCGAAACUGGCAGGCUAGAGUCUUGUAGAGGGGGGUAGAAUUCCAGGUGUAGCGGUGAAAUGCGUAGAGAUCUGGAGGAAUACCGGUGGCGAAGGCGGCCCCCCUGGACAAAGACUGACGCUCAGGUGCGAAAGCGUGGGGAGCAAACAGGAUUAGAUACCCUGGUAGUCCACGCCGUAAACGAUGUCGAUUUGGAGGUUGUGCCCUUGAGGCGUGGCUUCCGGAGCUAACGCGUUAAAUCGACCGCCUGGGGAGUACGGCCGCAAGGUUAAAACUCAAAUGAAUUGACGGGGGCCCGCACAAGCGGUGGAGCAUGUGGUUUAAUUCGAUGCAACGCGAAGAACCUUACCUGGUCUUGACAUCCACAGAACUUUCCAGAGAUGGAUUGGUGCCUUCGGGAACUGUGAGACAGGUGCUGCAUGGCUGUCGUCAGCUCGUGUUGUGAAAUGUUGGGUUAAGUCCCGCGACGAGCGCAACCCUUAUCCUUUGUUGCCAGCGGUCCGGCCGGGAACUCAAAGGAGACUGCCAGUGAUAAACUGGAGGAAGGUGGGGAUGACGUCAAGUCAUCAUGGCCCUUACGACCAGGGCUACACACGUGCUACAAUGGCAUAUACAAAGAGAAGCGACCUCGCGAGAGCAAGCGGACCUCAUAAAGUAUGUCGUAGUCCGGAUUGGAGUCUGCAACUCGACUCCAUGAAGUCGGAAUCGCUAGUAAUCGUAGAUCAGAAUGCUACGGUGAAUACGUUCCCGGGCCUUGUACACACCGCCCGUCACACCAUGGGAGUGGGUUGCAAAAGAAGUAGGUAGCUUAACCUUCGGGAGGGCGCUUACCACUUUGUGAUUCAUGACU
RNAcentral lists this ribosomal RNA (1447 nucleotides) under uncultured organism. RNAcentral's name for it is "SSU rRNA". It matches the Rfam family "Bacterial small subunit ribosomal RNA". The record is from RNAcentral.